RNAcentral lists this ribosomal RNA (433 nucleotides) under uncultured bacterium. RNAcentral describes it as "partial 16S ribosomal RNA". It matches the Rfam family "Bacterial small subunit ribosomal RNA", at positions 29 to 507 of the family's 1533-position model. The record is from RNAcentral.
AACGAACGCUGGCGGCAUGCCUAACACAUGCAAGUCGAACGAGACCUUCGGGUCUAGUGGCGCACGGGUGCGUAACGCGUGGGAACCUGCCCUUAGGUUCGGAAUACCACCCCGAAAGGGGUGCUAAUACCGGAUAAUGUCUUCUGACCAAAGAUUUGUCGCCUUUGGAUGCGCCCGCGUUGGAUUAGCUAGUUGGGAGGGUAAAAGCCUACCAAGGCGUCGAUACAUAGCUGGGCUCAGAGGAGGGUCCGCCACACUGGGACUGGGCCACGGCCCGGACUACUGCGGGAUGCAGCAGUGCGUAAUAUUGGACAACGGGCUAGGGCCUGAUCCAGCACGGGCGCUUGAGCGAUGAUGUCCUUAGGGUUGGAAAGCUCUUUUAUCCGGGAUGAUAAUGACAGUACCGGGAGAAUAAGCUCCGGCUAACUCCGUG